GCCCUUGUAACUCAGUUGGUAGAGUGCCAAACUUGUAAUUUGGAAGCCGUGGGUUCGAAUCCUGCCGGGGGCACCA
RNAcentral lists this transfer RNA (76 nucleotides) under compost metagenome. RNAcentral describes it as "tRNA-Thr". It matches the Rfam family "tRNA". From Rfam's summary of the family: Transfer RNA (tRNA) molecules are approximately 80 nucleotides in length. Their secondary structure includes four short double-helical elements and three loops (D, anti-codon, and T loops). Further hydrogen bonds mediate the characteristic L-shaped molecular structure. tRNAs have two regions of fundamental functional importance: the anti-codon, which is responsible for specific mRNA codon recognition, and the 3' end, to which the tRNAs corresponding amino acid is attached (by aminoacyl-tRNA synthetases). tRNAs cope with the degeneracy of the genetic code in two manners: having more than one tRNA (with a specific anti-codon) for a particular amino acid; and 'wobble' base-pairing, i.e. permitting non-standard base-pairing at the 3rd anti-codon position. The record is from RNAcentral.